CUUUAUCGGUACGUGACAAUCUCUUAAAGCGAGGCAUUCCUUUGUCUUCUAUCUGUCCGCUUUGUUAUUUAUAAUAGGAAAUUAUUAAACAUGCACUAUUUUGAUGCAAUCAUGCCCGUGCUGCCUGGUUUUCUCUCCCUUGCUCAUACAAACUCAAUCCAAGGGGUUUUGCAUCUUUUCCUAUUUGGUGGUCUGCUAUUUCGG
RNAcentral lists this unclassified non-coding RNA (204 nucleotides) under Hevea brasiliensis (rubber tree). Lineage: Eukaryota; Viridiplantae; Streptophyta; Magnoliopsida; Malpighiales; Euphorbiaceae. The record is from RNAcentral.